Lynx canadensis (Canada lynx) is the source of this 123-nucleotide small nucleolar RNA. Lineage: Eukaryota; Metazoa; Chordata; Mammalia; Carnivora; Felidae. The record is from Ensembl.
AGGCACUGUUCGUGGCCUGUCAGUCUGGCUGUGGCUCACGGGCUCCAUUCCAGUGCGACAGCAAUUCCAACGGCACGUGACUGACUGACUCAUGGCUCUCAGUUUCGGGUCCUGGGGACACAA